RNAcentral lists this long non-coding RNA (1226 nucleotides) under Mus musculus (house mouse). Its description in RNAcentral is "long non-coding RNA chr7:16146161-16147387". The record is from RNAcentral. Lineage: Eukaryota; Metazoa; Chordata; Mammalia; Rodentia; Muridae.
AAUCUAUGGAUGGGAGGAGACCGGGUUGAGGAGACUGGGUGGGACUUUAGGAAGGAGAAGGACUUGAAUGGGGCCCAAGGUGAAAAAUGGAAUUUGACUGGGAAGAUGGGAGAGGAGUCUGAGAAUGGGUGGGGCCUGGGUGGUCUUUGGUUGAAAGAGUCAGUUGGGAUGUGGAAACAAGGAGGGGAGUCUCAGGUGGAGGAGGGGCUUUAGAAAGGAGCGUUUGUAGGUGGCCAUGGCCCAGCCAACCUAGAGAAAAGUUGCUUGGCUGAGUAGAAGUCGUGGUCGAGUGGUGGGUGAGGCCUUAUGUGUGGGAGAAGUCUAAAAUGUGAGAAUUGUGAGAUACUGGAGGAACUGGGAAACAGUGGGAGACCCAGGGAGCUGAGAAGAGAAACAGAACUUGGGAGACAUGGGGCAUGGAUUCCUGAAGACUGGACUCUCACACGUAGGUCCUGUAGAUGUGCAGACGGACAGGGCAUUGCAAACCCUGGGCCCUGGGCUCGAGUCCCUGGAGAGUCACCUCCCCCGCGCCUGCUGAGCGCAACCAGCGCUGCUCCUCCGCUCCCACCGCCCCCGCAGCGGCUGGCUCCCUCCUCAUACCACCCACGCGCUCCCUCCAGCCGUGGGGCUUCUGCCUUGCCAUCAGCGGGCCGAUGAUGGUUUUCCGUCCCUGUAUCUCUGACCUCCCAGGCUAUAUCUCUCUGGAAUCUGGACUCAGUCCUCAGUCUUUCUUUCUGCAUCGGGUUAUGCUUUAAAUCAGAAGCCCUAAGCUGCUCUCCAUAUUUCUCUCUUUGGGAUGAGCAGGUGGACUGGUGGCGGUUGCUUGGAGUGGAGCCCUAUCAUCAUCCCUAGCCAAAUUCUAGAGACAGAGGGUAUGGCAGAGUUGUCUUUUUAUGGUUCUUGUCCUUCUGAUCGUCUAACUUGCUCCCUUCUUGCUGCUGCAAUUCUGUGGGACUUUCCUCCCCCACGAGGCUUCCCCAGCCUGGGACACCCUCUGUCCUCCCCCAUCUCCCGCCUCCGCCCAAGCUUCCAGCUGUGGCUUCAGGAGACAAGAGAACAGGAGGCUAAUUAGCGUUUAGGGAAACACAUCCUUCCUCUGACGGGCAGGCGCUAAUUAGAGGAGCUCUGAAGCAACCAGGCUGGGGUGGAGGCCUGGGCAGGAUCAACACAGAGACUGGAGGAAUCAGAGACUUAAUGGAGAUAGCCAAAGGCAAAACAGAGAGACG